Molecule: ribosomal RNA, 301 nt
Filed under: uncultured bacterium
Lineage: Bacteria
Description: partial 16S ribosomal RNA
Rfam family: Bacterial small subunit ribosomal RNA
Source: RNAcentral
CAGUAGCCGCGGGAAUACGAAGGGGGCUAGCGUUGCUCGGAAUGACUGGGCGUAAAGGGCGCGUAGGCGGAUGGCACAGUCAGAUGUGAAAUUCCCGGGCUUAACCUGGGGGCUGCAUUUGAUACGUGUUGUCUAGAGUGAGGAAGAGGGUCGUGGAAUUCCCAGUGUAGAGGUGAAAUUCGUAGAUAUUGGGAAGAACACCGGUGGCGAAGGCGGCGACCUGGUCCUUUACUGACGCUGAGGCGCGAAAGCGUGAGGAGCAAACAGGAUUAGAUACCCGAGUAGUCCCUGUCUCUUAUAC